Molecule: ribosomal RNA, 397 nt
Filed under: uncultured bacterium
Lineage: Bacteria
Description: bacterial SSU rRNA
Rfam family: Bacterial small subunit ribosomal RNA
Source: RNAcentral
UAUUGCACAAUGGGCGAAAGCCUGAUGCAGCGACGCCGCGUGAGGGAAGACGGUCUUCGGAUUGUAAACCUCUGUCUUUGGGGAAGAAAUCAGACGGUACCCAAAGAGGAAGCUCCGGUUAACUACGUGCCAGCUGCCGCGGUAAUACGUAGGGAGCGAGCGUUGUCCGGAAUUACUGGGUGUAAAGGGAGCGUAGGCGGGCGAGAAAGUUGAAUGUUAAAUCUACCGGCUUAACUGGUAGCUGCGUUCAAAACUUCUUGUCUUGAGUGAAGUAGAGGCAGGCGGAAUUCCUAGUGUAGCGGUGAAAUGCGUAGAUAUUAGGAGGAACACCAGUGGCGAAGGCGGCCUGCUGGGCUUUAACUGACGCUGAGGCUCGAAAGCGUGGGGAGCAAACAGG